Long non-coding RNA from Homo sapiens (human), 473 nucleotides. The record is from Ensembl. Lineage: Eukaryota; Metazoa; Chordata; Mammalia; Primates; Hominidae.
UUUUUCUCUAAGUUGCCUAUCGGAAUUGAAUCUGCCUUGCCUGAGCCUCUCCUUUCAGACUUUCUUCCCUCUCCCCAGCCAUCAGUGACCUUUCAGUCUUCAUCCCAGGUCCUCUUUCUUCCUCUGCCUCAGAGCCUAGUUAAUUGCUUCUAUUCAGUGAAAUUAGAGUUCAAGAGUCUGGGACUGGGAUUCCUUCUCAGAGAAUGCAGGAGUAGAAGGCAAACACAUCUGACUUCUUGCUUACGUCAUAGAACAUUACAGGAUGCUGUGGACUGAAUUGUGUCCCCCACGAAUUCGUAUGUUGAAACCCUAACUCCUAGUGUGAUUGAAUUUAGAGUAAGAAAGUAAUUAAGGUUAAAUGAUGUCAUAUGGCAUGUGAAAACACAGCCAGAAGCUGGCCAUCUGCAUACUACCAGGAACUGACUUGCCAGCCUCCAGGACUGUGAGAAAAUAAACUGUUGCUUAAGCCAUCA